GACGAACGCUGGCGGCGUGCUUAACACAUGCAAGUCGAACGGAAAGGCCCUGCUUUUGUGGGGUGCUCGAGUGGCGAACGGGUGAGUAACACGUGAGUAACCUGCCCUUGACUUUGGGAUAACUUCAGGAAACUGGGGCUAAUACCGGAUAGGAGCACCUGCUGCAUGGUGGGGGUUGGAAAGUUUCGGCGGUUGGGGAUGGACUCGCGGCUUAUCAGCUUGUUGGUGGGGGAGUGGCUUACCCAGGCUUUGACGGGUAGCCGGCCGGAGAGGGGGACCGGCCACAUUGGGACUGAGAUACGGCCCAGACUCCUACGGGGGGCAGCAGUGGGGAAUAUUGCACAAUGGGCGGAAGCCUGAUGCAGCAACGCCGCGUGCGGGAUGACGGCCUUCGGGUUGUAAACCGCUUUCGCCUGUGACGAAGCGUGAGUGACGGUAAUGGGUAAAGAAGCACCGGCUAACUACGUG
RNAcentral lists this ribosomal RNA (468 nucleotides) under uncultured bacterium. RNAcentral describes it as "partial 16S ribosomal RNA". It matches the Rfam family "Bacterial small subunit ribosomal RNA", at positions 28 to 507 of the family's 1533-position model. The record is from RNAcentral.